RNAcentral lists this ribosomal RNA (497 nucleotides) under uncultured bacterium. Its description in RNAcentral is "partial 16S ribosomal RNA". It matches the Rfam family "Bacterial small subunit ribosomal RNA", at positions 28 to 507 of the family's 1533-position model. The record is from RNAcentral.
GAUGAACGCUGGCGGCGUGCCUAAUACAUGCAAGUCGAGCGAACGGACGAGAAGCUUGCUUCUCUGACGUUAGCGGCGGACGGGUGAGUAACACGUGGAUAACCUACCUAUAAGACUGGGAUAACUUCGGGAAACCGGAGCUAAUACCGGAUAAUAUUUUGAACCGCAUGGUUCAAUAGUGAAAGACGGUUUUGCUGUCACUUAUAGAUGGAUCCGCGCUGCAUUAGCUAGUUGGUAAGGUAACGGCUUACCAAGGCAACGAUGCGUAGCCGACCUGAGAGGGUGAUCGGCCACACUGGAACUGAGACACGGUCCAGACUCCUACGGGAGGCAGCAGUAGGGAAUCUUCCGCAAUGGGCGAAAGCCUGACGGAGCAACGCCGCGUGAGUGAUGAAGGUCUUCGGAUCGUAAAACUCUGUUAUUAGGGAAGAACAUAUGUGUAAGUAACUGUGCACAUCUUGACGGUACCUAAUCAGAAAGCCACGGCUAACUACGUG